This is a long non-coding RNA of Myodes glareolus (Bank vole), 480 nucleotides long. RefSeq lists it as uncharacterized. NCBI's taxonomy places the organism in Eukaryota, Metazoa, Chordata, Mammalia, Rodentia, Cricetidae. The record is from RefSeq and is a predicted model, not a curated record.
GAAACGUGAAGCUGGCAACUUGCCCGGAGGGAAGCUUCCUUGUAACUCACAGAAAUCUGGUCCUGUCCUGAGGACUGGGGACAUUUCUCAGUGACAGAGCAGAUGAGGCUUCACAAGUCCCUGAGUUCAGUCUCCAGAACUGCAACAGCAAAGAAGAAUUCAGAACCUUUCUUCAGGCCUACUGCCACCUUCAGCUCAGAAGACCUCCUCCUUCCGCCACAACUCUUCUUGAGACACAAAAAUAAGUUUUUAUUUAGAACAAAAAUAGAUGUAACAAAUGACUCAUUUAACUGACAAAUACAAUGAACAUGAUAAAAACUCAGCAGAAUAAGAUGAUUUUAUUAUUUUCUUGACAUGCCUCUAAUAUUUCCCCCAUAAUCCCCGGCUGAAUACUGUCAUUGCCUCUUCAUCUGACAAUGAAUCUAUAAUAUAAUUUCCCACAGACGGCAGGAUAAUUCUGCCUUUCUUUGAGCAUGAUUG